AUGAACGCUAGCUACAGGCUUAACACAUGCAAGUCGAGGGGCAGCAUGGUCUUAGCUUGCUAAGGCCGAUGGCGACCGGCGCACGGGUGAGUAACGCGUAUCCAACCUGCCUUACACUCUUGGACAGCCUUCUGAAAGGGAGAUUAAUACAAGAUGUUAUCAUGAGUAAGCAUUUUCGCAUGAUUAAAGGUUUACCGGUGUAAGAUGGGGAUGCGUUCCAUUAGAUAGUAGGCGGGGUAACGGCCCACCUAGUCUUCGAUGGAUAGGGGUUCUGAGAGGAAGGCCCCCCACAUUGGAACUGAGACACGGUCCAAACUCCUACGGGAGGCAGCAGUGAGGAAUAUUGGUCAAUGGACGAGAGUCUGAACCAGCCAAGUAGCGUGAAGGAUGAAGGUUCUAUGGAUUGUAAACUUCUUUUAUACGGGAAUAAACGAAUCCACGUGUGGAUUUUUGCAUGUACCGUAUGAAUAAGGAUCGGCUAACUCCGUGCCAGCAGCCGCGGUAAUACGGAGGAUCCGAGCGUUAUCCGGAUUUAUUGGGUUUAAAGGGAGCGUAGAUGGGUUGUUAAGUCAGUUGUGAAAGUUUGCGGCUCAACCGUAAAAUUGCAAUUGAUACUGGCAGUCUUGAGUACAGUUGAGGUAGGCGGAAUUCGUGGUGUAGCGGUGAAAUGCUUAGAUAUCACGAAGAACUCCGAUUGCGAAGGCAGCUUACUAACCUGUAACUGACAUUGAUGCUCGAAAGUGUGGGUAUCAAACAGGAUUAGAUACCCUGGUAGUCCACACGGUAAACGAUGAAUACUCGCUGUAGGCGAUAUACAGUCUGCGGCCAAGCGAAAGCAUUAAGUAUUCCACCUGGGGAGUACGCCGGCAACGGUGAAACUCAAAGGAAUUGACGGGGGCCCGCACAAGCGGAGGAACAUGUGGUUUAAUUCGAUGAUACGCGAGGAACCUUACCCGGGCUUAAAUUGCAACCGAAUAUGGCGGAAACGCUAUAGCUAGCAAUAGCGGUUGUGAAGGUGCUGCAUGGUUGUCGUCAGCUCGUGCCGUGAGGUGUCGGCUUAAGUGCCAUAACGAGCGCAACCCUUGCCGAUAGUUACUAACAGGUCAUGCUGAGGACUCUGUCGGGACUGCCAUCGUAAGAUGUGAGGAAGGUGGGGAUGACGUCAAAUCAGCACGGCCCUUACGUCCGGGGCUACACACGUGUUACAAUGGGGGGUACAGAGGGCUGCUACCACGCAAGUGGAUGCCAAUCCCAAAAACCUCUCUCAGUUCGGAUUGAAGUCUGCAACCCGACUUCAUGAAGCUAGAUUCGCUAGUAAUCGCGCAUCAGCCACGGCGCGGUGAAUACGUUCCCGGGCCUUGUACACACCGCCCGUCAAGCCAUGGGAGCCGGGGGUACCUGAAGUGCGUAACCGCAAGGAGCGCCCUAGGGUAAAACUGGUGGCUGGGGCU
RNAcentral lists this ribosomal RNA (1451 nucleotides) under uncultured organism. RNAcentral describes it as "SSU rRNA". It matches the Rfam family "Bacterial small subunit ribosomal RNA". The record is from RNAcentral.